Molecule: non-coding RNA, 99 nt
Organism: Halenospora varia
Lineage: Eukaryota; Fungi; Ascomycota; Leotiomycetes; Helotiales; Solenopeziaceae
Source: the annotation of a GenBank genome assembly
UCAAUAGAGCUCAAUCGGUAGAGCGUGAGACUCUUACACAUCACGUGAAAGCGUGAGAAAGAAACAUCUCAAGGUUGCGGGUUCGACCCCCGCGUUGGG